UUAAGCGACUAAGCGUACACGGUGGAUGCCCUGGCAGUCAGAGGCGAUGAAGGACGUGCUAAUCUGCGAAAAGCGCCGGCGAGGUGAUAUGAACCUUUGACCCGGCGAUGUCCGAAUGGGGAAACCCAGUGUGUUCCGACACACUAUCGUUAACUGAAUACAUAGGUUAACGAGGCGAACCGGGGGAACUGAAACAUCUAAGUACCCCGAGGAAAAGAAAUCAACCGAGAUUCCCCCAGUAGCGGCGAGCGAACGGGGAGCAGCCCAGAGUCUGAAUCAGCUUGUGUGUUAGUGGAAGCGUCUGGAAAGUCGCACGGUACAGGGUGACAGUCCCGUACACGAAAGCACACAGGUUGUGAACUCGAAGAGUAGGGCGGGACACGUGGUAUCCUGUCUGAAUAUGGGGGGACCAUCCUCCAAGGCUAAAUACUCCUGACUGACCGAUAGUGAACCAGUACCGUGAGGGAAAGGCGAAAAGAACCCCGGCGAGGGGAGUGAAAAAGAACCUGAAACCGUGUACGUACAAGCAGUGGGAGCACCUUCGUGGUGUGACUGCGUACCUUUUGUAUAAUGGGUCAGCGACUUAUAUUCUGUAGCAAGGUUAACCGUAUAGGGGAGCCGAAGGGAAACCGAGUCUUAACUGGGCGUUAAGUUGCAGGGUAUAGACCCGAAACCCGGUGAUCUAGCCAUGGGCAGGUUGAAGGUUGGGUAACACUAACUGGAGGACCGAACCGACUAAUGUUGAAAAAUUAGCGGAUGACUUGUGGCUGGGGGUGAAAGGCCAAUCAAACCGGGAGAUAGCUGGUUCUCCCCGAAAGCUAUUUAGGUAGCGCCUCGUGAACUCAUCUUCGGGGGUAGAGCACUGUUUCGGCUAGGGGGCCAUCCCGGCUUACCAACCCGAUGCAAACUACGAAUACCGAAGAAUGUUAUCACGGGAGACACACGGCGGGUGCUAACGUCCGUCGUGAAGAGGGAAACAACCCAGACCGCCAGCUAAGGUCCCAAAGUCAUGGUUAAGUGGGAAACGAUGUGGGAAGGCACAGACAGCCAGGAUGUUGGCUUAGAAGCAGCCAUCAUUUAAAGAAAGCGUAAUAGCUCACUGGUCGAGUCGGCCUGCGCGGAAGAUGUAACGGGGCUAAACCAUGCACCGAAGCUGCGGCAGCGACACUAUGUGUUGUUGGGUAGGGGAGCGUUCUGUAAGCCGUUGAAGGUGGCCUGUGAGGGUUGCUGGAGGUAUCAGAAGUGCGAAUGCUGACAUAAGUAACGAUAAAGCGGGUGAAAAGCCCGCUCGCCGGAAGACCAAGGGUUCCUGUCCAACGUUAAUCGGGGCAGGGUGAGUCGACCCCUAAGGCGAGGCCGAAAGGCGUAGUCGAUGGGAAACAGGUUAAUAUUCCUGUACUUGGUGUUACUGCGAAGGGGGGACGGAGAAGGCUAUGUUAGCCGGGCGACGGUUGUCCCGGUUUAAGCAUGUAGGCGGAGGUUCCAGGUAAAUCCGGUACCUUAUUAACGCUGAGGUGUGAUGACGAGGCACUACGGUGCUGAAGUAACAAAUGCCCUGCUUCCAGGAAAAGCCUCUAAGCAUCAGGUAACAUCAAAUCGUACCCCAAACCGACACAGGUGGUCAGGUAGAGAAUACCAAGGCGCUUGAGAGAACUCGGGUGAAGGAACUAGGCAAAAUGGUGCCGUAACUUCGGGAGAAGGCACGCUGAUAUGUAGGUGAAGCCCCUGCGGGUGGAGCUGAAAUCAGUCGAAGAUACCAGCUGGCUGCAACUGUUUAUUAAAAACACAGCACUGUGCAAACACGAAAGUGGACGUAUACGGUGUGACGCCUGCCCGGUGCCGGAAGGUUAAUUGAUGGGGUUAGCGGCAACGCGAAGCUCUUGAUCGAAGCCCCGGUAAACGGCGGCCGUAACUAUAACGGUCCUAAGGUAGCGAAAUUCCUUGUCGGGUAAGUUCCGACCUGCACGAAUGGCGUAAUGAUGGCCAGGCUGUCUCCACCCGAGACUCAGUGAAAUUGAACUCGCUGUGAAGAUGCAGUGUACCCGCGGCAAGACGGAAAGACCCCGUGAACCUUUACUAUAGCUUGACACUGAACACUGGUCCUUGAUGUGUAGGAUAGGUGGGAGGCUUUGAAGUGUGGACGCCAGUCUGCAUGGAGCCGUCCUUGAAAUACCACCCUUUAAUGGCUGGUGUUCUAACGUAGACCCGUAAUCCGGGUUGCGGACAGUGUCUGGUGGGUAGUUUGACUGGGGCGGUCUCCUCCCAAAGAGUAACGGAGGAGCACGAAGGUUAGCUAAUCCUGGUCGGACAUCAGGAGGUUAGUGCAAUGGCAUAAGCUAGCUUGACUGCGAGAGUGACGGCUCGAGCAGGUGCGAAAGCAGGUCAUAGUGAUCCGGUGGUUCUGAAUGGAAGGGCCAUCGCUCAACGGAUAAAAGGUACUCCGGGGAUAACAGGCUGAUACCGCCCAAGAGUUCAUAUCGACGGCGGUGUUUGGCACCUCGAUGUCGGCUCAUCACAUCCUGGGGCUGAAGUAGGUCCCAAGGGUAUGGCUGUUCGCCAUUUAAAGUGGUACGCGAGCUGGGUUUAGAACGUCGUGAGACAGUUCGGUCCCUAUCUGCCGUGGGCGCUGGAGAAUUGAGGGGGGCUGCUCCUAGUACGAGAGGACCGGAGUGGACGCAUCACUGGUGUUCGGGUUGUCAUGCCAAUGGCACUGCCCGGUAGCUAAAUGCGGAAAAGAUAAGUGCUGAAAGCAUCUAAGCACGAAACUUGCCCCGAGAUGAGUUCUCCCUGAGACUUUAAGUCUCCUGAAGGAACGUUGAAGACGACGACGUUGAUAGGUCGGGUGUGUAAGCGCAGCGAUGCGUUGAGCUAACCGAUACUAAUGAACCGUGAGGCUUAACCUU
RNAcentral lists this ribosomal RNA (2903 nucleotides) under Enterobacter sp. MGH 16. Its description in RNAcentral is "bacterial LSU rRNA". It matches the Rfam family "Bacterial large subunit ribosomal RNA". The record is from RNAcentral. Lineage: Bacteria; Pseudomonadati; Pseudomonadota; Gammaproteobacteria; Enterobacterales; Enterobacteriaceae.